Molecule: ribosomal RNA, 468 nt
Filed under: uncultured bacterium
Lineage: Bacteria
Description: partial 16S ribosomal RNA
Rfam family: Bacterial small subunit ribosomal RNA
Source: RNAcentral
GACGAACGCUGGCGGCGUGCUUAACACAUGCAAGUCGAACGGAAAGGCCCUGCUUUUGUGGGGUGCUCGAGUGGCGAACGGGUGAGUAACACGUGAGUAACCUGCCCUUGACUUUGGGAUAACUUCAGGAAACUGGGGCUAAUACCGGAUAGGAGCUCCUGCUGCAUGGUGGGGGUUGGAAAGUUUCGGCGGUUGGGGAUGGACUCGCGGCUUAUCAGCUUGUUGGUGGGGUAGCGGCUUACCAAGGCUUUGACGGGUAGCCGGCCUGAGAGGGUGACCGGCCACAUUGGGACUGAGAUACGGCCCAGACUCCUACGGGAGGCAGCAGUGGGGAAUAUUGCACAAUGGGCGGAAGCCUGAUGCAGCAACGCCGCGUGCGGGAUGACGGCCUUCGGGUUGUAAGCCGCUUUCGCCUGUGACGAAGCGUGAGUGACGGUAAUGGGUAAAGAAGCACCGGCUAACUACGUG